AUUGAACGCUGGCGGCAUGCCUUACACAUGCAAGUCGAACGGCAGCACGGGGCAACCUGGUGGCGAGUGGCGAACGGGUGAGUAAUGCAUCGGAACGUGCCAUUGAGUGGGGGAUAACGUAGCGAAAGUUGCGCUAAUACCGCAUAUUCUGUGAGCAGGAAAGCAGGGGACCGCAAGGCCUUGCGCUCUUUGAGCGGCCGAUGUCAGAUUAGCUAGUUGGUGAGGUAACGGCUUACCAAGGCGACGAUCUGUAGCGGGUCUGAGAGGAUGAUCCGCCACACUGGAACUGAGGCACGGUCCAGACUCCUACGGGAGGCAGCAGUGGGGAAUUUUGAACAAUGGGCGCAAGCCUGAUCCAGCCAUGCCGCGUGAGUGAAGAAGGCCUUCGGGUUGUAAGCUCUGUGGGGAGAGACGAAGAAAGACCGUGAAGAGCGGGCCGUUGACGGUAUCUCCUUAGCAAGCACCGGCUAACUCCGUGCCAGC
RNAcentral lists this ribosomal RNA (483 nucleotides) under uncultured bacterium. RNAcentral describes it as "bacterial SSU rRNA". It matches the Rfam family "Bacterial small subunit ribosomal RNA", at positions 30 to 512 of the family's 1533-position model. The record is from RNAcentral.